CCUACGGGUGGCAGCAGUGAGGAAUAUUGGUCAAUGGGCUUACGCCUGAACCAGCCAAGUCGCGUGAGGGAAGACUGCCCUAUGGGUUGUAAACCUCUUUUGUCAGGGAGAAACGCCGGCUACGUGUAGCCGGACUGAGGGUACCUGAAGUACACGCAUCGGCUAACUCCGUGCCGGCAGCCGCGGUAUUACGGAGGAUGCGAGCGUUAUCCGGAGUUAUUGGGUUUAAGGGGUGCGUAGGCGGAAUGCAAAGUCAGCGGGAAAAUCGCGGGGCCCAACCUCGCACCGCGUUGGAAACUGGCGUUGUUGAGUGUGGGAGAGGUAUGCGGAAGGCGUGGUGUAGCGGUGAAAUGCAUAGAUAUCACGCAGAACUCCGAUUGCGAAGGCAGCAUACCGGCGCCCAACUGACGCUGAAGCACGAAAGCGUGGGUAUCGAACAGGAUUAGAUACCCCAGUAGUC
Molecule: ribosomal RNA, 460 nt
Filed under: uncultured bacterium
Lineage: Bacteria
Description: partial 16S ribosomal RNA
Rfam family: Bacterial small subunit ribosomal RNA
Source: RNAcentral